CGGGUAAAAAUACCGCGGUACGAUUGCACCGUAAAACGUGCCAGUUGAGUUUUGAGCUCUAGGUUUCAAAUAUGAGUUAUAAAUGGUUUAUAAAGUCAGGAAAUAUGAUUUCGGAUAAUAAUUGAUGGAAUUAAGUUAGUUUGGGGAAGCGUGCCAACGGCGCGCACAAUAGCUUAAAACAGUGUUUUCUCCGAACGACCGGAAACCUCCGGAUUCAUCUGAUCAAGUAUAAUUAAAGGAGAAUGGUUAAGGUUAAAAAUUAGAGUUUCUAAAUAGGUUGUGAAUUUACGGAUGUUUAGUGGAAUCGUAGAGAAAUUCGGAUAAGUUCUAAAUCGCGUGAGGUGGCGUGAGACCCACCCCACUUAAAAUCCACUUAAUCCACCUCAUCACCACUAUUCAUCAUCACCUUCUCUCCUCCCCUUUCAGACAAAACCGAGCUGCUGCCCCUCCCCCUCCAUUUUUGGGCAAAAUUUUCUUUUCCUCACAACUUAGCCAUUUCUCCACCGAAUCCAACGAUUUUUGUCUUGAAUCUUGAUGGAAAACACCUUCUAAACACAUUGGUACCACUCUUGAGCCUUGAAACCGUGUAUUUGGGGAGAUCAAAGCCAUUUUCAGAUUCGACCCUUUGAAGAAAAAUGGAUAUUCAUGGAGUCAUUUGAGCUUCCAUUGCUUGGAGGAGUCUUGGGUUAACAUCUAGCCUUGAUUGUUGCCGUACGUCGACUUGAAUCCCGAACCGUGAAUCGGAAGAGUGCCCUUUGUCAUGGACCAAGUGAGUUGAGGUAUUCUGUUGAGAAACAAGUUUGGAAAAUAAGCUGCUGUGGAGUUAGUGAAGAGGCAUAUUAAGGAGGUAGUAGUGGCACAGGAGUGGCAGGCAAGAGGCCCGUAGGAUGAGUCAUGGAAGCAUUAUCAUUACUUGUUCAUGAUAUAUAUUGUGCCUGAGUCUAGUUAGUUAUUAUUUCAUUCGAAGUUAUGUUUAA
Molecule: long non-coding RNA, 977 nt
Organism: Gastrolobium bilobum
Lineage: Eukaryota; Viridiplantae; Streptophyta; Magnoliopsida; Fabales; Fabaceae
Exons: 4
Source: RefSeq, a predicted model, not a curated record